CCUUCCAGCACCAGACUUCUGGCAUCUGACUUGCUUUGGCUACUAGAGUGGGGAAGAAGUGAUGUGUGAGUUCCAAGCCUCGAGAGACUGUGUUUCUCGUCACCUGCUUCUUCGAAAGGAUAUUUCAGAUGCAGAGUUCUAAGCCUGGGUCCCUGAAUCACCAUGUGGAGAAAAGCUGCCUGCCAACCGGAAACACCAGCAUUGGAACAUAUGGUUCAGAGAAGUGACAAGUUGAAGGUCAUGAUGCUUUUGUUGCCGCAGAGUCCAACAUCAAACACGUGGGACUCGGGUUCAAGCCCUGCCCUGGGAAGAUUCCACAUGCCACGGAGCAACUAAGCCUGUGAACCACAACUGUUGAGCACAUUUGCUGCAACUAUUGAAGCCCACACGCCUAGAGCCCGUACUCUGCAACAAGAGAAGCUGCUACAAUGAGGAGCCCACGCACCACAAUGAAGAGUAGCCCCCACUCGCAGCAACUAGAGAAAGCCCGUGUGCAGCAAUGAAGACCCAAUGCAGCCGAUAAAUAAAUUAAAUAAAUAAAUAAAUAAAUAAAUUUAUUAAAAAAAAAAGAAAUG
Molecule: long non-coding RNA, 575 nt
Organism: Hippopotamus amphibius kiboko
Lineage: Eukaryota; Metazoa; Chordata; Mammalia; Artiodactyla; Hippopotamidae
Exons: 4
Source: RefSeq, a predicted model, not a curated record